ACACGACUACAUUAGAUACCCCGGUAGUCCUAGCCGUAAACGAUACUCGCUAGGUGUCGGCCACGGUGCGACCGUUGUCGGUGCCGUAGGGAAGCCGUGAAGCGAGCCACCUGGGAAGUACGGCCGCAAGGCUGAAACUUAAAGGAAUUGGCGGGGAGCACCACAACGGGUGGAGCUUGCGGUUUAAUUGGAUUCAACGCCGGAAAUCUUACCGGGACCGACAGCAACAUGAAGGCCAGGCUGAAGACUUUGCCGGAUUAGCUG
Molecule: ribosomal RNA, 264 nt
Filed under: uncultured archaeon
Lineage: Archaea
Description: partial 16S ribosomal RNA
Rfam family: Archaeal small subunit ribosomal RNA
Source: RNAcentral